UUUUUGAAGCAAAGACUGGGGUUUUAUUAAUAAAUAAACUGAAAACAGACAGCCCAAAAAGUGGCCCAAACAAAGAAACCAGAAAACAACAAUAAAAACUUCUAAAAAACUAUCAAGACUUCUGUCUUACAAAAGAAACAUAAAAUCAAUAAAAGAAAAUAAAGCAAAUUAAAAAACCUAACCCAGUCAAAUCAAUGAGCAGCUGGCAACCAAUAACGUCUGACGAUUUGUUAUUUCCAAAGCUCCUAACGUUUAAUUAAUAGCAGUCCCCUAGGCAUUCAAUCUUCACUCUGCUGUCUAUUUCGGUCACAUUUCCUCUGAAGCAGUUCCUCAAUCUGGAUUUCUUGACCGAUAUCCUACCGAAGCCAGAUUCUGACUAUCUAGUUCCUCACCCCUCAGGUAAAUCGUCUCUCCUUUCUCGAAUGCGAUCUUUGCUAUUCUGUGAGCAUCUAAGUUUUCUGACCUGUUAAUAUACUGGAAAAUAAGAUCUUGAAAGUCAGAUUUCUUCUGUUGAAUAUCUCUGAUGAUGGCUCCAAUAACUGAUUUGUCUGUGGAAGUCUCUUGACAUUUCUUUAUUACAGUUUUUGAAUCCCCCAUAAGUUUCACUGAAUGGAUUCGUAAUGAAAUCCCUAACUUUACUCCUUCUAAACAUGCAUGAGCCUCUGCUGCGAAAGGAGAAGAAACAUUUCUGUGAAUAACUAUUUUUAACGCUAUUAAGACUCCCCUCGAGUCCCAACCUACAAGGCCGGACGCUGAACUGGAGGUAUUACUGUCGUACGCUGCAUCAAAAUGGAUCCUGGCUGUCGGUGUAAGCUCUUGUACUCUAUAGCUUCUGCAUGUGACCUCAUUAGUUUUUAAGACUUUUAAUCCUCUCUGUUCUAACUCAUAUCUUUGUAUGUUAAGUACUAAGGCCCUUCCUGGAAUGAUAUUUCUCUCAUGAAUAAGUUGAUUUCUAGAAAACCAUAUCCACCAUAGCGCAUAGCAAAAGGAAAAGCAUUGGUCAUUGUUUCCCCUCUUGAAAACCCAGGUUAACCACUCCCACAUAGUAUGGCUCCUAUUGUUCAUAACCCAUGCGAAAUUUAACAAAUGCCAAACUUCUGCUGUUAUAGGGCAAUCUCGAAAGAUGUGGAGGCUGUCUUCGACCUCAGAGCUGCACCGGGGACAUCUGUCGUUUGAAACCACUCUCCUUAUACUGAGAUUAACAAAGUUUGGAAUAAAGUCCCAAGAGAUCCGCCAGAUUGUAAACGCAAUUUUAGAUGGUAGCUGAAGGCUCCAUAGUUUUUUUAUAAAAAUCCUUUGUUUCGGUUUGUAAUAAAUAGUCACUAGGAUCCAUAUUUGCAUUUUGUAAUAGUUUAUAGGCACUACGAACAGAGAACUCACCAGAUAAUUCCCCUUUCCAAGCCUGAAAAUCAUCAUGCGCAAUCUCUGCAAGAGGAAUUUCAAGGAUUUUCCGAACUAUGUCCUCAGGAAAGGUAUUCUGAAUCAACUCCAAGUUCCAUUUUCUGUUUGAAUGAUCAAGAUGAUCCGCAACUAACUUAAUUUCCCUCCUGGUUGUUCUGUUGUUUACGUCGAUUUUGUCAACCCCCUGAAUCCAACAAUCGUCCCAAACAGAGAUGCUAUCUCCUCUGCCCACUCUCCAGCACAUCCCUUUUUGGAGUAGACCUUUAGCAGCCCAAAUGCUCUUCCAGGUAAAAGAAGGUAAAUUUCCCAGCUUCGCUGUUAAGAAACUAGAAUCCAGAUAAUACUUUGCUUUUAAAGUUCUGGCUAAAAGCGAAUUUGGAAAAUUAAUGAGACGCCAACCUUGUUUCGCUAAUAAUGCAAUAUUGAACUGACCGAAAUUGCGAAACCCAAUUCCACCAUUUUCUUUCAAAAAACAAAGAUUCUUCCAAGUGCACCAAUGGAUUCCUCUUUUUCAAUUCCCUUUCUGCCACCAGAAUUUGGCAACAAUAUGUUCCAGUUCAUCACAAAGUGUUCUAGGAAAUAAGAAGCAUGCCAUCGAAUAGGUAGGGGUAGCCUGUAAAAUGACUUUAAUAAAAACUUCUUUACCUCAUUGUGAAAGAAAUCUAAUACUCCAAUUAUCAAUGCAUUUUUUAAACCUAUCCUUCAGAUUUUGGAAAGCUUCCCUCUUUCUUCGACCCACCAUAUUUGGCAAUCCCAGAUAUCUCUCUGGUUCAUUCGACCUUCAAACCCCCAGCGAGUUAACAACUUGUCUUCUAUCCUCUUCGGAAGUAUUUUUGCUAAAGAAAACAGAUGAUUUUUUCAAAAUUUACACACUGUCCCGAUUGAGAUUUAUAUUCAUCCAAAAUGCCCUUGAAGAUACUUGCACCUCUGCUUGUUGCUUCACCAAACAAAACACAAUCAUCAGCGAAUAAAAGAGGAAAAAUUUGUGGCCCACUUCUACUAACCUUUACGCCAUUUAACGUGCCUCUUUUUACUGCCUGUCUCAAUAAGCUCGAUAAACCUUCGCCACAAAAGAGAAAUAAAAAUGGACUAAGUGGGUCGCCUUGUCUCAAUCCUCUAUUAGGUGAAAAUGUGUCCCCUUUAUGUCCAUUAAUAACAACUGAGUAGGAAAUGGUAGAGACACAAUUCAUAAUGGCCUUCACCCAUUCCGAAUCAAAUCCCAUCAUUAUCAUAAUUUCUUCAAUAAAACUCCACUCCACCCUAUCAUAAGCCUCAGUCAUAUCAAGUUUAACGGCCAUAAACCCUUUUUUCCCCAGCCUCUUCUGUUUUAACUUAUUCAUUACUUUGUAUUCUAGUAUCACAUUAUCAGAGAUUAAUCGACCAGGAACAAAAGCGCUCUGGGUUUCAUCAAUACAAUUCCCGAUCACCUUUCUAAGCCUGCUAGCUAUCACCUUAGCAAUAAUUUUGUAAUUAACAUUACAGAGACUAAUCGACCUGAAUUGCGUCAUUAUUAGAGGAUUAUUAACUUUGGGUAUGAGAACAAUGUUUGUGGAAUUUAUUGAACUAACCUCCAUGCCUCCAUUCAAAAUUCGAGAGCAGUAAGCAAUGACUUCUUCUCCCAUGAUCUGCCAACACUUCUGGUAAAAAACUGUUGGAAGACCAUCUUCCCCUGGUGCCUUCGUUGGCCCCAUAUCAAAAACCGCUGUCGUGAUUUCCUCCCUAGUAUAUAGAGCUAUAAGGAUCUGGUUGUCCUCCUCUUAAAUGCAUAUCUCAAUACCUGCUAAAAUCUGAUUAUUGUUCCUUCUUCGUUCAGUCGUGAACAGUUUCUGGAAGUAAAAUCUCGCAUUUUCUUUAAUUUCCUGUAAAAUCUUCAGCUCUCUUCCUUCUUCGUUCAUCAAUCUGUUAAUAGAAUUUUUCCUCUUCCUUUGUGUAGCUUGACUAUGAAAGAAUUUUGUGUUUUUGUCUCUAAAUGUCAACCAAUUAAUUCUAGCUCUUUGUUCCCAAUAGCAUUCGUCUUUUUCAAUCUCAAAAUUCAAGUUUAGUCUAGUGUCAAUUAGCUCAGCUAAAGUAUUUUCAUCCCGUUCGGCUCCUGCAAGUUCCUCAAGUUUUUUGUGAAGCUCCUGUUUAGAUUUCUUCCUACUCAUUUUCACCUCUCCUGCCCACUCUUUUAAUCCUGUUUUCAAAAUCUCCAAUCUCUGCAGCAAGUCACCUGUUGAACUCUCCCAUAUGCCUUUAACCACCUCAAUAAAAGAUUCCUCCAAUAACCACCAGGCUUCAAAUUUAAAAUUGUUAUUCCAUACCUUUACUCCUUUUUCUGUAGUAUCAAUGAGAAGAGGACAGUGAUCUGAAAACGAAUGGGAAAGAUGUUGAACCUUCACCUCUGGAAACAUCGUAACCCAACCCAUGUUGGCAACUCCUCUAUCAAGGCGUUCUCGUAUAUUUGUCUCAGGUAAAUUACCUCUUUCCCAAGUAAACCAACUACCCUCGAAGCCCACAUCGUUCAAUUGACAAUCAACAAGUGUUUUCCGAAAACACUCCAUUCUUCUCUAGUCUCUGGGAAUUCCUCAUUUCUUUUCGAAACCAUACAUGAUUUCAUUAAAGUCUCCACAAACUAACCAUGGAAUUUCCACUCCAGUGGUCAAUCUUUUCAAAGUAUCCCAUGAAACGUUCCUCUCCUGGACAUAUGUGGAACCAUAGAAUCCUGUGAAUCUCCAUUGUGGCCAAUCUUUUCAAAGUAUCCCAUGAAAUGUUCCUGUCCUGGACAUAUGGGGAACCAUAGAAUCCUGUGAAUCUCCAUUUCACACCUUGCUCAUUAUCUUCGACUAACACGUCAAUAUGCCUUUUAGAAAAACUACGAAGACUAACAUCAAUAUUUGCUCUCCAUGCCAAACAUAACCCUCCCCUUGUACCUUCAGAAUCAACUUCAAUGCCAUUAUGAAACCCACAUCUCAUGUGAACUACUUCAAUCUAUUUUCUGUUAAGUUUUGUCUCCAUGAAGAAGAUAAUUUGGGGAUUUUUUAACUUUAGUACAUAUCGAAGUCUUCGAACUGCGUCAAGCAUCGGACGUUCCAGCAUAAUAUUUUCAUUGCGACAGGUCGGCUCUUGGUAGCCGCCGAUGAUAAAAGUAUCUGUCCUUCCAUCUCACCUCUAUUUUGCUUCUUCCCCUCUUCCCCCAUUAAAACUUCAUCCUCUAGAUCAUGAUCCAUUAAUUUGUGAAUCUUAUAUGAUCAUGGUUUCUCCAAAACUGUUCCUUUCCCUUCUAAACUAAAACCCUGUAUUGGAUCACUGGUUUUCAUCUCACUACCUCUUGGAAUCCCAUUCCUUGAACCCAUCUCCCCUAAUCUGUUCUCCAUCCAACAGCCUUCCCUAACCCCCUUAUCCUCUUCACGCAGCCAAAUACUAUUCGUUGACAAGGCUCUAUGUGAUGGAGCCCACAGGGAUAAAUCCCAACUCAACUCUAUGGGAUCUGAUCCAACCAUCAUUUUUGUCUCAAUAAGAAUCAUUAUGACCCAACCGACCACAGAAAAAAUAAAACAGUGAUAAACGUUCAUACUUGAAUUUGACGUACGAACAAACACCAUUAGACGUAACCUGCUUCUUUCUCCUUAAUGGCUUCCUGACAUCAAUCUGCACCCUGACUCUCAUAAAAUUACUUUUUUCCUUGCCCAGAUUUGAUGCAUCAUACUCUAAAAAUACUCCAAUAAAAUUCCCCAGUAACGUUGCUAAACUUUUAGAGAAUCAACCCAUUGGAACAUCAUGGAUUUGUACCCAGAAUGGAACAUAUAUUAACGGUAUUUUUAACGGAUCUUCACCUCUGUUCAGAUUGCUCAGAAUUAAUAGAUGAUUGUUAAACGUCCAAGGAAGGCCCUUUAGAACUCUCUCCAAAUCCAUACUAUGGAAGAACUUAAAAAUGUACCUUUUUUCUCCCAAAUCACGAAUCUGUACCCCACAAAUGGGGUGCCAUAAAUUUGCUAGGGUACUUUUCAUAGCCGAAAAAUUUAUGAUACUUGCUGGUAAGAAACAUCCCACAAGCUGAUAAUCGCCCACGUCUGUAUGCGGUUGUAGAUCAUCCUGAAUCUGCAAGAUCUCUUAUUCUUCUUCAUUAAUUGAUAAUUGGGCUAAUUCAGUCUCCAUGGUUGCAGGAAUUAAAGGAACGCUUCCGCCAACCAAUUAAAGAGAGAUCAAUCGCGGAAAUCGUAGGGAAUAAAAUAAAAGAGAUCAAGACCCCUCAAAAUCCAAAAAAACAUAAACUUUAAACCUAAGAACCCAUGCCAGAGACGGCAGACAGAACCCGUGCCAGAGACGGCAGACUUUUUUUGAAAUAUUUAUUAUAUGCCCAGAGCAGAGAACCAGGAAGCUGAUAGACUUGCCAAGAUGGCUCACUCAGGAAGUCAAGGUUUGCGAAUGUUUAGAAGACCCCCAUUUGGAGAGUUAGGCCAAUUGGCAUAGUUUAUUUCUAGUAAUUUUCUAUUUUUCACCAAAAAAAAUAAUAUAUUGUAAUUAAAAUCUAAGAUCAAGACUUUAUGAAGACUCCUUAAAGGAAGAUUAGACCACUAAACAAUUGAAGAAGAGUCCUUCUUGUUUUCCAACUAUUUUCUCUACAAUUCCUCACAAUAUUUUGAACCUUUGUACUAAAAGUGUGGUAAAAGUAUCAUGAAAAUCAUGUAUUAGGAGUUAGAUUGCAUCUUAUCCCCUUUAUUUAAAAAAUUAGAUAAAUUAAUACUUACACAUUAGAUUAAAGAAUAAAUUAGUCUUUUCUGUUAAAAAUU
Molecule: long non-coding RNA, 6170 nt
Filed under: Gossypium barbadense (sea-island cotton)
Lineage: Eukaryota; Viridiplantae; Streptophyta; Magnoliopsida; Malvales; Malvaceae
Description: long non-coding RNA (GBAR_LNC018202)
Source: RNAcentral